This 64-nucleotide transfer RNA is filed under the name Neogeoscapheus hirsutus. RNAcentral describes it as "tRNA-Glu". It matches the Rfam family "tRNA". Rfam says of the family: Transfer RNA (tRNA) molecules are approximately 80 nucleotides in length. Lineage: Eukaryota; Metazoa; Arthropoda; Insecta; Blattodea; Blaberidae. The record is from RNAcentral.
AUUUAUGUAGUUUAAAUAAAACAUUACACUUUCACUGUAAAAAUAUUAUUAAUAAUCAUAGAUU